GUCGGCGUGCCUAAUACAUGCAAGUAGAACGCUGAAGAGAGGAGCUUGCUCUUCUUGGAUGAGUUGCGAACGGGUGAGUAACGCGUAGGUAACCUGCCUUGUAGCGGGGGAUAACCAUUGGAAACGAUAGCUAAUACCGCAUAACAAUGGAUGACACAUGUCAUUUAUUUGAAAGGGGCAAAUGCUCCACUACAAGAUGGACCUGCGUUGUAUUAGCUAGUAGGUGAGGUAACGGCUCACCUAGGCGACGAUACAUAGCCGACCUGAGAGGGUGAUCGGCCACACUGGGACUGAGACACGGCCCAGACUCCUACGGGAGGCAGCAGUAGGGAAUCUUCGGCAAUGGGGGCAACCCUGACCGAGCAACGCCGCGUGAGUGAAGAAGGUUUUCGGAUCGUAAAGCUCUGUUGUAAGUCAAGAACGAGUGUGAGAGUGGAAAGUUCACACUGUGACGGUAGCUUACCAGAAAGGGACGGCUAACUACGUGCCAGCAGCCGCGGUAAUACGUAGGUCCCGAGCGUUGUCCGGAUUUAUUGGGCGUAAAGCGAGCGCAGGCGGUUUGAUAAGUCUGAAGUUAAAGGCUGUGGCUCAACCAUAGUUCGCUUUGGAAACUGUCAAACUUGAGUGCAGAAGGGGAGAGUGGAAUUCCAUGUGUAGCGGUGAAAUGCGUAGAUAUAUGGAGGAACACCGGUGGCGAAAGCGGCUCUCUGGUCUGUAACUGACGCUGAGGCUCGAAAGCGUGGGGAGCGAACAGGAUUAGAUACCCUGGUAGUCCACGCCGUAAACGAUGAGUGCUAGGUGUUGGAUCCUUUCCGGGAUUCAGUGCCGCAGCUAACGCAUUAAGCACUCCGCCUGGGGAGUACGACCGCAAGGUUGAAACUCAAAGGAAUUGACGGGGGCCCGCACAAGCGGUGGAGCAUGUGGUUUAAUUCGAAGCAACGCGAAGAACCUUACCAGGUCUUGACAUCCCGAUGCUAUUUCUAGAGAUAGAAAGUUACUUCGGUACAUCGGUGACAGGUGGUGCAUGGUUGUCGUCAGCUCGUGUCGUGAGAUGUUGGGUUAAGUCCCGCAACGAGCGCAACCCCUAUUGUUAGUUGCCAUCAUUCAGUUGGGCACUCUAGCGAGACUGCCGGUAAUAAACCGGAGGAAGGUGGGGAUGACGUCAAAUCAUCAUGCCCCUUAUGACCUGGGCUACACACGUGCUACAAUGGUUGGUACAACGAGUUGCGAGUCGGUGACGGCAAGCUAAUCUCUUAAAGCCAAUCUCAGUUCGGAUUGUAGGCUGCAACUCGCCUACAUGAAGUCGGAAUCGCUAGUAAUCGCGGAUCAGCACGCCGCGGUGAAUACGUUCCCGGGCCUUGUACACACCGCCCGUCACACCACGAGAGUUUGUAACCACCCGAAGUCGGUGAGGUAACCUUUUGGAGCCUGCCGCCUAAGGUGGGAUAGAUGAUUGGGGUGAAG
This 1464-nucleotide ribosomal RNA is filed under the name uncultured organism. RNAcentral describes it as "SSU rRNA". It matches the Rfam family "Bacterial small subunit ribosomal RNA". The record is from RNAcentral.